CUUUGUCCUGCAAGAAUCAUUAUGGUCAUCUUGCAAGUGCCUGCAUGAGAUGGUGGAGAUUGCUAAUCUUGCUUUCGGCUUUUGGAUUAACGGUGUGAGGGAGUUGAUUAGGAAGCUUUGCUGGGAUGGUGCUAUGAACAUGUUGGAAUUCUUACCUUAGAUUGAACUAUAUUAUGUUGUUUCUGUUUUUGGUUUAUUUGCAAAGCAGUG
Molecule: unclassified non-coding RNA, 210 nt
Filed under: Hevea brasiliensis (rubber tree)
Lineage: Eukaryota; Viridiplantae; Streptophyta; Magnoliopsida; Malpighiales; Euphorbiaceae
Source: RNAcentral